This 2940-nucleotide long non-coding RNA is filed under the name Sus scrofa (pig). RNAcentral describes it as "lncRNA (ENSSSCG00015071252.1)". Lineage: Eukaryota; Metazoa; Chordata; Mammalia; Artiodactyla; Suidae. The record is from RNAcentral.
ACUCGCAGGGCUCUCACUGCUCGCGGUGCGGCAGCCGCGCGCGGACUCCGCUGCGCCUCCGAGGGGGCCAGGCACGCGGUCAAGAUCUGUGGCCACUGGUUCCCAUGGUUUCGAGGCACCAUGAGGCACGCUGGCUCUUGGAAACUUUGGCUCUGGGCAGCACUUCUCCUGCUUCCUGCUUCCACUUCCGUGACGGUUAGGGACAAGCCAGAAAAGCAGUGUCCUGUACUGAGAACAGAGGAGCAUCAGUUUACACAAGACAAUGGAGAUAAACUUGAAGUUUCAGGUUUUGACCUAGGAGAGAGUUUUUCUAUGAGACGUGUGUUUUGUGAAGGUGAUAAAACCUGUUUCAAAUUGGGAAGUUCUCUUCUUAUUAGAGACACCAUGUUGAACUUCACCAACUUAAAAUCUACUGUGACUUGAACUUCAUAGCUCAAGAAACUUGUUGUGAGAUGUCAGACACUAAGUGCCCAGAGCAGGUUGGCUUUGGAAGUACUGCAUCUUUAUCAGUACCUGCGUAUGCCAGUCGAAUGUCUGCAUUUCUGCCAGCAAAGCAGGAACUAACAGACCAGUGCCAGUGUAUUCCAGAGAAGGGAGAAGCAGGAUUACAGGGAGCUCCAGGCUCACCGGGCCAGAAAGGAGACAAAGGACAGCAGGUAAGACACCAUCCAGUGCUGUCAGGAUGCAAGAGGAUUUGUCCAAAAGUGACUUUAAACUUGUGUCCAGCUCAUUUUUCUAGUCCCAUAUAAAUGCACAUUUCCAUAAAAAAGGCUGUCAAGGGCUGUAUUUAAGUGCUGUGCUGACCACUGAAAUAAAGAAGACUGAUAUCAGCAUGCAAGUCUGCUUUGGAGAAUCCUAUUGAAGGCUGGCCUAAAAUAUGGAAAGAUUAGGAAAUCUAGAUCUUUGUACCUGUUAAACCACAAGCAAAACCGCAAAGCAAGAAAGUUUGUUUUUCAGUGGUUUUGUAGCUUUCUUUAGCAUUCUCUUCUCCAAAUGCUUGAUGAACUUCUGAUGCUCUUGUCUGCUGAUAGGUCUCCACUGAAGAUUUUUCCUUACCCUUUAUUCAGGGGUGUAAACACCUUUGUUGAACACUUUCUCUGCGUAAGGCCUAGUGUUGGGUGUUAGAGGGGGUAGACAGAAGGGGAUCCAUUCCCUUUUCUCCAUGAUUUUAAAUCUGGGAGAAGACAGAAGACCUUAUCAGACCGCAUGUGUUAGGUGCUGUAGGAGCAUUUCAGGGGUCCUCAGGGAACUGUCUGGGGAGACUGGGGAGAGUUUCCUGGAGGAGAUGGUAAGUGAAAGGACCUGUGAGAAUCUGAUUCUAGCCAGUAUCCACACCUAGAGACUGCCUUUCCCUUCUCCCUAUCCCUUUUAUAACUGAACUAUUCAGUUCCCCACUCUUUUGAGUCAUGUCUUUUUUUCAACCAGUUUUUUUUUUUAAUUGAAGUACAGUCAGUUUACAGUGUUGUGUUAGCCUCAGGUGCACAGCAAAGUGACUGAAUUAUACAGGCAUAUAUAUUCUUUUUUCAGAUUCUUUUUUUUUUAAUAUCCAGCAGAUACUCAUUUUUUUAUUUUAAUGAUUUUUAUUUUUUUCCAUUGUGAGAUUCUUUUCCAUUAUAGUUUAUUACAAGACAUUGGAUGUAGUUCCCUGUGCUAUACAGUAGGUCCUUGUUAGUGUUCUAUUUUAUAUAUAGUAAUAUGUAUCUGUUAAUCCCAAACAUGUAUCUUCCCACCUCCUCUAUCCCCUCUAGUAACCAUAAGUUUGUUUUCUAUGAGUCAUGUCUCUUGUUAGCUCACUAGGUAGAUUAAUUUCUGCCAAGGUUAGAGUUGGUUAUGUUCUUACUAUCUUUCCAAGGUAAAAUAGUUUAAAUUCUUUUCAUGCCUUAACUUGGAAAUCCAAAGCUUUAAAUUGUUUAUAUAAUCUACAUGGACUCCUUAUUUUAAAAGGCUCAUAAGCAGAUUAAUUUAUGCCAAGAUUAGGAGUUGAUUAUAUCUUUCCAUGGAAGAUACAAUAGUAGACUUUCCUUUGGGAUCAUAGACCAAGAAUGGAGAGUUCCCUGGUGGCCUAGUGAUUAAGGAUUCAGCUUUGUCACUGCUAAGUUACCUGAAGUUCCCAUGGAAAAUAAAGAACUCAUAGAAAACAAACUUAUUAAGCACCUCAGUGGCUUCUGCUUGAGAGGAACUGUUUGGGGUAGGAUGGGUGUUUAUUUUUAAAGGCUGAGAAAUGACUGAUUUCACCAAGCUGCACAACAAGCUUCAACCAAGCCAUUCUUGGUUGGGUUCUUUUUUGGCCAAACCCACAACAUACAGAAGUUCCCAGGCCAGGGCUCAAACAUCAUCCACCUUAUAAACAAUAAUAUUCAGUAUUAUUUAUGUGUGGUCUUUGGUCAGGUUACUUCCACUUGUAAUAUCUUAUUUUGUCCUUAUCACCUAAGAAUGUAAAUCUAAUAUUUGUAUCCUCAUUUUGCAACUGAGAGAACCGUGCUUUCAAAAUCAUUAUAAUACUGAAGUGCACUUUUUAUUAUGUGAAAGCUUAAAAUAAUUGAGCAAUAUCUAGUUCUAAAGACUAUUUUUAUUAAUUAAUUAAUUAAUUUAUUUAUUUAUUGGCCCUGCACUCAGCAUGCAGAAGUUCUGAGGCCAGGGUUCUAAAGGCUAUUUAAAUCAAACUAAACAUUAAAAAUUACAGCAAUCUGGAGUUCCCAUCAUGGCGCAGUGGUUAAUGAAUCUGACUAGCAUCCACAAGGACGCAGGUUUAAUCCCUGGCCUUACUCAGUGGGUUAAGGAUCUGGCAUUUCCGUGUGCUGUGGUAUAGGUUGCAGACUCAUCUUGGAUCCUGUGUUGCUGUGGCUGUGGCAUAGGCCGGCAGCUAUAGCUCCAGUCUGACCCGUAGCCUGGGAAACUCUAUAUGCCAUGGUUGCGGCCCUAAAAAGAAAAAAAAAAAAA